AGAGUUUGAUCAUGGCUCAGAACGAACGCUGGCGGCAGGCCUAACACAUGCAAGUCGAGCGCCCGCAAGGGAGCGGCAGACGGGUGAGUAACGCGUGGGAACGUGCCCUUUGGUUCGGAAUAUUCCCGGGAAACUGGGAGCAAAACCGGAUAAGCCCUUCGGGGGAAAGUUUACGCCAAAGGAUCGGCCCGCGUUAGAUUAGGUAGUUGGUGGGGUAACGGCCUACCAAGCCUACGAUCUAUAGCUGAUCUGAGAGGAUGAUCAGCCACACUGGGACUGAGACACGGCCCAGACUCCUACGGGAGGCAGCAGUGGGGAAUCUUGGACAAUGGGCGCAAGCCUGAUCCAGCCAUGCUGCGUGGAUGACUGAAGGCCCUAGGGUUGUAAAGUCCUUUCGACGGGGACGAUAAUGACGGUACCCGUAGAAGAAGCCCCGGCUAACUUCGUGCCAGCAGCCGCGGUAAUACGAAGGGGGCUAGCGUUGUUCGGAUUUACUGGGCGUAAAGGGCGCGUAGGCGGAUUUUUAAGUCGGGGGUGAAAUCCCGGAGCUCAACUCCGGAACUGCCUUCGAUACUGGAAGUCUGGAGCACGGUAGAGGUGAGUGGAAUUCCGAGUGUAGAGGUGAAAUUCGUAGAUAUUCGGAGGAACACCAGUGGCGAAGGCGGCUCACUGGACCGUUGCUGACGCUGAGGCGCGAAAGCGUGGGGAGCAAACAGGAUUAGAUACCCCGGUAGU
RNAcentral lists this ribosomal RNA (735 nucleotides) under uncultured bacterium. RNAcentral describes it as "bacterial SSU rRNA". It matches the Rfam family "Bacterial small subunit ribosomal RNA", at positions 8 to 794 of the family's 1533-position model. The record is from RNAcentral.